CCUACGGGAGGCAGCAGUGGGGAAUCUUGCACAAUGGGGGAAACCCUGAUGCAGCGACGCCGCGUGAGUGAAGUAGUAUUUCGGUAUGUAAAGCUCUGUCAGCAGGGAAGAAAAUGAGGGUAACUAACUAAGAAGCCCCGGCUAACUACUUACCAGCAGCCGCGGGAAUACGUAGGGGGCAAGCGUUAUCCGGUUUUACUGGGGGUAAAGGGAGCGGAGACGGUAAGGCAAGUCAGAAGUGAAAGCCCAAGGCUCAACCAUGGGACUGCUUUUGAAACUGGCAAACUAGAGUACGGGAGAGGUGAGAGGAAUUCCAAGUGUAGCGGUGAAAUGCGUAGAUAUUAGGAGGAACACCAGUGGCGAAGGCGGCUCACUGGACUGUAACUGACGUUGAGGCUCGAAAGCGUGGGGAGCAAACAGGAUUAGAUACCCCUGUAGUC
RNAcentral lists this ribosomal RNA (440 nucleotides) under uncultured bacterium. RNAcentral's name for it is "partial 16S ribosomal RNA". It matches the Rfam family "Bacterial small subunit ribosomal RNA", at positions 338 to 795 of the family's 1533-position model. The record is from RNAcentral.